Molecule: small nucleolar RNA, 86 nt
Organism: Lolium rigidum
Lineage: Eukaryota; Viridiplantae; Streptophyta; Magnoliopsida; Poales; Poaceae
Product: small nucleolar RNA snoR114
Exons: 1
Source: RefSeq, a predicted model, not a curated record
GAGCAGUGAUUAAAUCUGUGCUGUGAUUGGAUCGGGUCCAUCAAAACUGACUGAUCUCUUGAUUAGCUCAAAGCACUAAUGAGCUC